Molecule: ribosomal RNA, 486 nt
Filed under: uncultured bacterium
Lineage: Bacteria
Description: partial 16S ribosomal RNA
Rfam family: Bacterial small subunit ribosomal RNA
Source: RNAcentral
ACUCAAAUGAAUUGACGGGAGCUUGCACAAGUGGUGGAGCGUGUGGCUCAAUUCGUCGCUAAGCGAAGAACCUUACCAGGGCUAGAAAUCCUACUGCACGCCUAGCGAAAGCUAGGAAGCCUUCGAGGGUGUAGGACAGGUGAUGCAUGGCUGUCGUCAGUUCGUGGUUUGAACCGUUCCCUUCAGUGGGGUAACGAACGCAACCUUCGUUGUCUGUUACACGUAUCAGGCGAGACUGCCCCCUCACGGGGGAGGAAGGUGGAGAUGACGCCAAGUCAGCAUGUCCCUCUGAUGUCCUGGGCUGCACACGCGCUACAAUCGCCGUUACAAAGGGGCGCAACGGGGUAACCCUGAGCAAAUCCUAUAAAAAGCGGCGCCAGUUCGGAUUGAGGUCUGCAACCCGACCUCAUGAAGCCGGAAUCACUAGUAAUCGUGGGUCAGCACACCACGGUGAAUACGUUCUCAAGCUUUGUACACACCGCCCGU